RNAcentral lists this ribosomal RNA (469 nucleotides) under uncultured bacterium. Its description in RNAcentral is "partial 16S ribosomal RNA". It matches the Rfam family "Bacterial small subunit ribosomal RNA", at positions 28 to 507 of the family's 1533-position model. The record is from RNAcentral.
GACGAACGCUGGCGGCGUGCUUAACACAUGCAAGUCGAACGGAAAGGCCCUGCUUUUGUGGGGGUGCUCGAGUGGCGAACGGGUGAGUAACACGUGGGUAACCUGCCCUUGACUUUGGGAUAACUUCAGGAAACUGGGGCUAAUACCGGAUAGGAGCUCCUGCUGCAUGGUGGGGGUUGGAAAGUUUCGGCGGUUGGGGAUGGACUCGCGGCUUAUCAGCUUGUUGGUGGGGUAGUGGCUUACCAAGGCUUUGACGGGUAGCCGGCCUGAGAGGGUGACCGGCCACAUUGGGACUGAGAUACGGCCCAGACUCCUACGGGAGGCAGCAGUGGGGAAUAUUGCACAAUGGGCGGAAGCCUGAUGCAGCAACGCCGCGUGCGGGAUGACGGCCUUCGGGUUGUAAACCGCUUUCGCCUGUGACGAAGCGUGAGUGACGGUAAUGGGUAAAGAAGCACCGGCUAACUACGUG